GAAGUAGUUUAGCUCGUCUUGUAGGCUCGUGUCACUGGGCAGCUCUCGGCUGUGCUUCCCUUUGUAGUCUGUAAUGGUUUGCAAGCCCUGCCAUAUCCGACGAGCAUCAGAGCCGGUGUAGUACAAUUCGAUCUUAGUCCUGUAUUGACGCUUUGCCUGUUUGAAGGUUCGUCGGAGGGCAUAGCGGGAUUUCUUAUAAGCUUCUGGGUUAAGAGUCCCGCUCCUUUGAAAGUGUCAGCUCUAGCCUUUAGCUCAGUUUGGAUGUUGCCUGUAAUCCAUGGCUUAUGGUAUGUACGUACGGUCACUGUGGGGACAAUGUCAUUGAUGCACUUGUUGAUGAAGCCAAUGACAGAUGUGGUGUACUCCUCAAUGCCAUUGGAGGAAUCCCGAAACAUAUUCCAGUCUGCUAGCAAAACAGUCCUGUAGCUUAGCAUCUGCUUCUUCUGACCACUUUUUUUUAUUGAUCUAGUCACUGGUGCUUCCUGCUUUAAUGUUUACUUGUAAGCACGACAGAAUUUUGGUCAGAUUUGCAAAAUGGAGGGCGAGAGAGAGCUUUGUAUUUGGAGUAAAGGUGGUGCAGAAUUAUUUUCCCUCCGUUUGCAUAUUUAACAUGCUGAUUAGAAAUUUGGUAAAACUGAGAAGUUUCCCUACAAUAAAGUCCCAGGCUACUAGGAGCGCCGCCUCUGGGUGGGCGUUUUCUUGUUUGCUUAUGGCGGAAUACAGCUUAUUCAAUGCUGUCUUAGUGCCAGCCUCCGUCUGUGGUGGUAUGUAAACAGCUACGAAAAAUACAGAAACUCUCUAGGUAGAUAGUGUGGUCUACAGCUUAUCAUGAGAUACUCUACCUCAGGCGAGCAAUAGCUUGAGACCUCCUUAGAUAUUGUGCACCAGCUGUUAUUUACAAAAAUACAUAGUCCUUCGCCCCUUGUCUUACCAGACGCCGCCAUAUUACCAGCCAGCUGUAUGUUGAUAGUGUUAUCUUUCAGCCAUGACUCCGUGAAACAUAAGAUAUUACCGUUGGUAGAUUCAUCUUCCCGCUUAGGUCAUCUGUUUUAUUCUCCAAAGAUUGCACAUUUGCUAGCAGAAUGGAAGGAAGUGGAGGUUUAUUCGAUCGCCUAUGAAUUCUCAGAAGGCAGCCCGCCCUCUGGACCCUUUUUCUCCACCUCCUCUUCACCCAAAUCUCUGGGAUCUGGGCCUGUUCCCGAGAAAGCAGUAUAUCAUUUGCGUCAGACUCGUUAAAAGGAAAAAAAGGAUUCUGCCAGUCCGUGGUGAGUAAACCCAGUCCUGAAGUCCAAAAGUUAUUUUCAAUCAUAAGAGACAUAAGCGGAACACUAUGUACAAAAUAAGUUAAAAAAAUAAGUUGCAAAUAAACGAACAAAAAAACACCAUCAGUUGGGACGGCGCCAUUGUUACAGUAGUAUGAUACUGUAACGACCCUGGGUUUAUAAGCGCGGAUAUUGACUCUGCCGCUAGAGCAUGCUUUUGGGGCACAGUCGAUAGCGCGCUGGACUUCGGGCUAGAAGGUCAAGGGUUUGAGACCUGCUCCCUGCCUGUUUCAUUACAAUACUAUAUUUCCUCCAAUUCGAAUGAUGAUGUAUGACCACUAUUCCAUUUGUAACAUAUCAUACUAAAAGGAGGGGUACAAAUAAAACUUCCCAAAUCCUAUUGAUUUCCCUGAGACCAUGUUGGUAGAUUUUAAAGAAUCAAACGCGUAUGAGAAUCUUCACUAUAUUGCUCACACCUAUCAAACGUUUCAGAUCUACAGGAGUGCCAAGAUGAAAUGGAGAAUAUCUUUCACACACCUACCUUAGCCCUACGGAGAAGCCGGAUCACACUGAUGCCGGUUGAUGCCAGCUCUCGGCUAGGCAUGCUCUGGAGCAGUGGACCCACCAGGACAGCAGGUGUCAGUGUAGAGGUACUCCAGGAAGGAGAGGAAGGUGUCAGAGGAGACUCCGUGGAUGGGCACCACCCGACUCCGUGCCUCCGCGUACUUCCCGCUGAACAUGGCCGCCAUGACAUCGCAGCGAGCCACCAGGACCGCCCGGUGAGCUGGUAACACACUCCCUGAAACACAGUCUAUUUUUAAAUAUAAUCUGGGUGGUUCGAGCCCUGAAUGCUGAUUGGCUGACAACAGGGUAUAUCAGACCUAUAUACCAAAGGUAUGACCAAUUUAUUUUUAAUUACAUUGGUAACCAGUUUAUAAUAGUAAUAAGGCACCUUGGGGGUUUGUGGUAUAUGGCCAAUAUACCACAGUUAGAGGCUGUGUCCAGGCACUCUGCGAUGUGUCGUGCCAAGAACAGCCCUUAGCUGUGGUAUAUUGGCCAUACAAAAUAUAUAUAUUUCAUUACAUGGGUUAUUGUAGAUGAUUGCUUAUGAACCUGGAGCUUGGCAUCACCCUGCGAGAGAGUUUGUCAUAAAAACGAUAUACUGUUUCUGCAGCAAAGUCAUUUAUAAAAUUGUAUACAUAAUAUAACAUCUGUAAACAUAAUAUUAUGGUGUCUGUAGUAUUACUAAGCUCUUAUAAACAAAACAGAAGAAUUGUACAAAAUCUGUCAUGAAUGUCUAAAGCACUGCGACUAUUGUAUAUCAAGUGUACGUCUUACAAGGCACCCUAAAUAUGUUGAUGGCAUUUUUUCUCUGGUGCAAUAAUGAAAUGGACCGACUACCUGAGGGCCCUCAGUGAAGAAAUCAGUUAAUCAUGUGUAAUAGAAAAAAGUUUACUUUGUGUGUGUGUGUGUACUUGCCUUGCACCAUGAAGAUGACAUCAGAGUAGAGAGGAGAGUUGAAGAGGUUGACCAGAGACUGAGGACCAAGCUGGGCGGGCCGAGCGUUAGGCGUAUCCCUGGAGCCCUACACACACACACACACACACAGCGUGGGUUAUGUCUGAGGAUUCCACCACUGUUGGUAUUUACUACCAUGAGUGCCAUUCAUUCUGAGCUUCCAUCUCCACCACCCACCCGUGGCAUAGAAAUAGCCUGUCUACACGCCUGCCUCAGCAGUGGCCAACUCCACUGUCCCUGCCCUCCCUGCCAAGACCGCCUCAAUGGAGCUGGCUAAUGCUGAAACAGACUGGCAGGCAGGCUCGCUUCCAGAGCAGUCUGCAUAUCAAACCCAUUGGCUUCAUUGUGCUGCAGUGAUAUAACAUCGCUCGCAUUGUGCCAGAGCCUGCUGGUUUAGAGUACACAAAUCAUUGACUUUCAACUGCUUAGUCAAUCCUGUAGAUGGAUUGGAACCAAGCGUAUGACUUGUAUUGAGAAAUGAUACAUGUAAAUGAUGAGUGCAAAAGUGGCACUUCACUUCUGAUGGAAUUGAAAUAGAAGGAACUCAAGCCUGGUCACCAGAUCGAAUUAUGAACCUGCAUGUCACAUGUCUCCUGAUGUUAAGGCGGCCCACAUCCCAUUCCCUUUGCUCAAUCUGAGAGUAAACAUUAUCCCAAUUCAAUCAAUUAGUGCACUGCUAGUACACUGCUUUUGAUCAGAA
Long non-coding RNA from Oncorhynchus kisutch (coho salmon), 3480 nucleotides. RefSeq lists it as uncharacterized. NCBI's taxonomy places the organism in Eukaryota, Metazoa, Chordata, Actinopteri, Salmoniformes, Salmonidae. The transcript has 2 exons. The record is from RefSeq and is a predicted model, not a curated record.